RNAcentral lists this ribosomal RNA (492 nucleotides) under uncultured bacterium. Its description in RNAcentral is "partial 16S ribosomal RNA". It matches the Rfam family "Bacterial small subunit ribosomal RNA", at positions 29 to 507 of the family's 1533-position model. The record is from RNAcentral.
AGUGAACGCUGGCGGUAGGCCUAACACAUGCAAGUCGAACGGCAGCACAGUAAGAGCUUGCUCUUACGGGUGGCGAGUGGCGGACGGGUGAGGAAUACAUCGGAAUCUACUUUUUCGUGGGGGAUAACGUAGGGAAACUUACGCUAAUACCGCAUACGACCUACGGGUGAAAGCAGGGGAUCUUCGGACCUUGCGCGAUUGAAUGAGUCGAUGUCGGAUUAGCUAGUUGGCGGGGUAAAGGCCCACCAAGGCGACGAACCGUAGCUGGUCUGAGAGGAUGAUCAGCCACACUGGGACUGAGACACGGUCCAGACUCCUACGGGAGGCAGCGGUGGGGAAUAUUGGACGAUGGGCGCAAGCCUGAUCCAGCCAUACCGCGUGAGUGAAGAAGGCCUUCGGGUUGUAAAGCCCUUUUGUUGGGAAAGAAGAGCAGCAGGUUAAUACCCCGCUGUUCUGACGGUACCCAAAGAAUAAGCACCGGCUAACUUCGUG